ACCGUACUCCUACGGGAGGCAGCAGUGGGGGAUUUUGGACAAUGGGCGAAAGCCUGAUCCAGCAAUGCCGCGUGAGUGAAGAAGGCCUUCGGGUUGUAAAGCUCUUUUGUCAGGGAAGAAACGGUGAGGGCUAAUAUCCCUCGCUAAUGACGGUACCUGAAGAAUAAGCACCGGCUAACUACGUGCCAGCAGCCGCGGUAAUACGUAGGGUGCAAGCGUUAAUCGGAAUUACUGGGCGUAAAGCGUGCGCAGGCGGUUUUGUAAGUCUGACGUGAAAUCCCCGGGCUCAACCUGGGAAUUGCGUUGGAGACUGCAAGGCUAGAAUCUGGCAGAGGGGGGUAGAAUUCCACGUGUAGCAGUGAAAUGCGUAGAGAUGUGGAGGAACACCGAUGGCGAAGGCAGCCCCCUGGGUCAAGAGUGACGCUCAUGCACGAAAGCGUGGGGAGCAAACAGGAUUAGAAACCCGGGUAGUCCUUGAC
RNAcentral lists this ribosomal RNA (479 nucleotides) under uncultured bacterium. Its description in RNAcentral is "bacterial SSU rRNA". It matches the Rfam family "Bacterial small subunit ribosomal RNA", at positions 330 to 801 of the family's 1533-position model. The record is from RNAcentral.